RNAcentral lists this ribosomal RNA (401 nucleotides) under Gallotia caesaris gomerae. RNAcentral's name for it is "partial 16S ribosomal RNA". It matches the Rfam family "Bacterial large subunit ribosomal RNA", at positions 1972 to 2575 of the family's 2925-position model. The record is from RNAcentral. Lineage: Eukaryota; Metazoa; Chordata; Lepidosauria; Squamata; Lacertidae.
UCCCUAAAUAGGGACUAGUAUGAACGGCUAAAUGAGGACCUUACUGUCUCUUGCCGCCAGUCAAUGAAACUGAUCUCCCAGUCCAAAAGCUGGGAUAACACCAUAAGACAAAAAGACCCUGUGGAGCUUUAAAACCAAAACCAUUAAUAAUUGUCCACUUGGUUUUUAGUUGGGGCGACUUCGGAGAAAAAACAAACCUCCGAAACAAUGGACCUCACCAUAUCAAGGCCAACACGCCAAAAUAGCCAAAACUUGACCCAGAUCUUAAUUUCUGACCAAUGAACCAAGUUACCCCAGGGAUAACAGCGCCAUCUUCUUUUAGAGUCCAUAUCGACAAGAAGGUUUACGACCUCGAUGUUGGAUCAGGACACCCCAAUAGUGCAGCCGCUAUUAAAGGUUCG